This 511-nucleotide ribosomal RNA is filed under the name uncultured bacterium. RNAcentral's name for it is "bacterial SSU rRNA". It matches the Rfam family "Bacterial small subunit ribosomal RNA", at positions 28 to 531 of the family's 1533-position model. The record is from RNAcentral.
GAUGAACGCUAGCGGGAGGCUUAACACAUGCAAGUCGAGGGGCAGCAUAGGGUAGCAAUACUCUGAUGGCGACCGGCAAACGGGUGAGUAACGCGUAUGCAACCUACCCUGUACAGGGGGAUAACCCGGAGAAAUUCGGACUAAUAUCCCGUAAUAAUAUCCGGAGGCAUCUUUGGAUAUUUAAAGUUCCGACGGUACGGGAUGGGCAUGCGUAACAUUAGCUGGUUGGUAAGGUAACGGCUUACCAAGGCUAUGAUGUUUAGGGGUCCUGAGAGGGUGGUCCCCCACACUGGUACUGAGACACGGACCAGACUCCUACGGGAGGCAGCAGUGAGGAAUAUUGGUCAAUGGGCGCAAGCCUGAACCAGCCAUCCCGCGUGCAGGAAGACGGCCCUAUGGGUUGUAAACUGCUUUUCCAGAGAGAGAAACUUACGCACGUGUUGCGUGACUGACGGUACCCUGGGAAUAAGCAUCGGCUAACUCCGUGCCAGCAGCCGCGGUAAUAGUCACG